Non-coding RNA from Cherax quadricarinatus, 2012 nucleotides. NCBI's taxonomy places the organism in Eukaryota, Metazoa, Arthropoda, Malacostraca, Decapoda, Parastacidae. The record is from RefSeq and is a predicted model, not a curated record.
UUCUCAAGUUACAAAAGAAACUUUAGAGGAAGGAAAAAAAAUCAGAUAACCAGUGAGUCCUAUCGUAUCGUAUCGUACAACGCUGCAAGGAGCUGAGUGAGGGACCUUGAUCCUGGUGAAGGACUCUUGUCCCGAGGAAUUGGAGCUACCUACACCAUUCUCAUUUAUCAGGGGCUGCAUGAAAGGUGUACGUCACGUCCAGCUGAUGAUGCAGGUGUAAACAACUGGGACGCCCCUACCUCAUUAAACCAAAAAGAGUUGUGACUAGCAAGAUGAAGGCAUGAUCAAUUAACGUAUGACUUAAGGAUAUGAAAGCCAUAGCCAACAUACCAUUUAUAGUUUGUAACAUCUUUGUAGAAUUCUUUUUAACAAGUACAUGAUGCACUCUUCAUUUCCACACAUCAAAGUGACAAGGAAAUCAAAAUUUAAAUUGACAUCCAAUCGGUAAGCUGACAUAACUGAAGUUAUUUUGAAUACACAUUUGCUUUCAUUGCUGCUAAAACUGCAUACGUACAUUGCUGUUUAAUACGAAUUAGUCACAUUAUUUUGUUUCUUUGGGUAUGUAUUGAAAUAUCAGCCACCCCCAAUUUUUUUUAUCCAUUUUAUGUAUGCAGUAUGAUAAUGGAUGAUAAUGGAUAUAGUAGCAGAUUCUUAAUGUCAAACAAAGCCUAUACUGUAAGCUUCUAUGCCUAAACUUAUCCCUGGUAUUGUAACAGACAUUUUAGACAUAUGACAGGUUUUGUACCAAUAAUGGUCUCUAGAAUUUUUAGUAACUUACUGUUGAACAGUUGCCAGAGGAUUUCCCUUUUUUAUCGUAUAUAUGAAUCAGAUAAGUAAUUACAAGAAUUCUGAGUGUUGUAUAAUGAUGCCAUCAUGUCCUUUUAAACUUCUGAGAAAUAUAUUGGUUUCUUUAUAGAAUAGAAAAUGCCAAACUCAAGAGGAUGCUAAAAUAUACUUAAGUCUUGGUUAAUGCAUUUGAAAACCUAAUGUUGCAUGAUCAUAGCUUGCCUUUUCAAUAUUCUGGGGUUUAAAUUUAGUUUUUCAUUUCUAAUAGAAGGUUUGCUUGCUUCCAUUAAAGCUGGUGCAAAAUUAAUUGCCAUUGGUGGCAUGCAUUUCUGUUAAGGAGCACUACAGCAGGCAGGUAGGAGACUUGCCCCUAUGCAUUGAUCAACUCAUUUAUUUUAGUGGUGCAGAGAAGGGUAUAAUGGAGAGUGAUGGAUGUAAACAAACCUCUUCCCAUGUGGGUCAAUGUAUGUCAUUGCUUGGUUGUUCCUUACUUUCAUCACCCCAUUUAGUCUCCGGAUACCCAAAUAAAGUGCAGGUGAUGUUGGUGAAGUAAAGAAGAAAAUUAAAUAUGAAACUAUGCCUGUUUCAAAAAAAAAUAAAAAGGUAAUCAAGAUGCUGAAAGGUGGUGCUCAUGUCAUGAAGAUGGCUCAAAUGUUAGGUGUUAGAGAAUCAAUGAUUCAUUCAAGACAAUGAGAUGAAGAUAAAGGCUUGUGCAGUGAGUAAUUCUCAGUGUAACACAGUGAAAAAUGAGAAAUAGGUCAUUAUAGCUAAAUAAAACAGAAAGUUUACUAAAAUGUGUGGAUUGAAAAGCAAACAAAGAAAGGUAAUUUUUUUUUUUUUCAACAAGUCGGCCGUCUCCCACUGAGGCAGGGUGACCCAAAAAAGAAAGAAAAUCCCCAAAAAGAAAAUACUUUCAUCAUCAUUCAACACUUUCACCACACUCACACAUUAUCACUGUUUUUGCAGAGGCACUCAGAAUACAACAGUUUAGAAGCAUAUAUGUAUAAAGAUACACAACAUAUCCCUCCAAACUGCCAAUAUCCCAAAUCCCUUUUUUAAAGUGCAGGCAUUGUACUUCCCAUUUCCAGGACUCAAGUCCGACUAUAUGAAAAUAACCGGUUUCCCUGAAUCCCUUCACUAAAUAUUACCCUGCUCACACUCCAACAGAUCAUCAGGUCCAAAGUACCAUUCGUCUCCAUUCACUCCUAUCUAACACGCUCACGCAC